Molecule: long non-coding RNA, 287 nt
Filed under: Mytilus galloprovincialis (Mediterranean mussel)
Lineage: Eukaryota; Metazoa; Mollusca; Bivalvia; Mytilida; Mytilidae
Source: RNAcentral
GAAGCAGGACAAAUCGCCCCACUGGCAAAACGCCCCACACCAAAUCGCCCCACUUUUUAACCAGCUCGCCCCACUUUUUAGAAAAUCGCCCCAAACUGGUUUACCAACUCGCCCCACUUUUUAAAAAAUCGCCUCACUUGUGAAAAGGGUUAAAUCCCGUUAAUGUUUCCCCUGUCAACUCGCCCCACUUAUUGAAUAAAGGUAAAAUCUACUUCAAUAUAUAAUUUUCAGGUCUACCAACUAGCCCCACUUUAAAUGAAAACUAGUCUACACUGUCACAGAAUACC